This 250-nucleotide ribosomal RNA is filed under the name uncultured bacterium. RNAcentral's name for it is "partial 16S ribosomal RNA". It matches the Rfam family "Bacterial small subunit ribosomal RNA", at positions 524 to 773 of the family's 1533-position model. The record is from RNAcentral.
UACGUAGGCAGCUAGCGUUGUUCGGAAUUACUGGGCGUAAAGCGAGUGUAGGCGGUUUGCCAAGUCCGUUGUGAAAUCUCCCGGCUCAACUGGGAGGGUGCGGCGGAAACUGGCAGGCUAGAGUGCGGAAUGGGAGAGUGGAAUUCCUGGUGUAGCGGUGAAAUGCGUAGAUAUCAGGAGGAACACCGGUGGUGAAGACGGCUCUCUGGACCGCUACUGACGCUGAGACUCGAAAGCGUGGGGAGCAAAC